This 486-nucleotide ribosomal RNA is filed under the name uncultured bacterium. RNAcentral describes it as "partial 16S ribosomal RNA". It matches the Rfam family "Bacterial small subunit ribosomal RNA", at positions 29 to 507 of the family's 1533-position model. The record is from RNAcentral.
AUUGAACGCUGGCGGCAUGCUUUACACAUGCAAGUCGAGCGGCAGCGCGGGGGCAACCCUGGCGGCGAGCGGCGAACGGGUGAGUAAUGCAUCGGAACGUAUCCUCGAGUGGGGGAUAACCCAGCGAAAGUUGGGCUAAUACCGCAUGAGCUCUGAGGAGGAAAGCGGGGGAUCUGCGAGGGCCUCGCGCUGGAGGAGCGGCCGAUGUCCGAUUAGCUAGUUGGUGGGGUAAAGGCUUACCAAGGCGACGAUCGGUAGCUGGUCUGAGAGGAUGAUCAGCCACACUGGGACUGAGACACGGCCCAGACUCCUACGGGAGGCAGCAGUGGGGAAUUUUGGACAAUGGGGGCAACCCUGAUCCAGCCAUGCCGCGUGAGUGAAGAAGGCCUUCGGGUUGUAAAGCUCUUUCGGACGGAACGAAAUGGGCGGGACUAAUACUCCUGUCUGAUGACGGUACCGUAAGAAGAAGCACCGGCUAACUACGUG